GCUACUGUAAGUUUCAAAUUAAUUGGAUAAAAUUUAUAGUAAAGUAAAAGCAAAGUAAAGUAAUCUUUAUUUAAAGUCGGGUUGCAUAUAUAUAAAUAAUAACAAUGAACAUGAGCUCUUAAGAGCUCUUUAACCGACUGAUAUUAAUAAACAAAACAUACAUGUAAUAACAUCAGAUACACAUACAACACAAACAUACAGACA
RNAcentral lists this long non-coding RNA (204 nucleotides) under Mytilus galloprovincialis (Mediterranean mussel). Lineage: Eukaryota; Metazoa; Mollusca; Bivalvia; Mytilida; Mytilidae. The record is from RNAcentral.